AGAGAGGGAGGGACCAGGAUGGGGAGAGAGGGAGAAAGGAAAGUGAGGGGAAGCGAGAGAGAGUUAGUGGGGGAAGAUAUAUAGAGACACACAGGAGAGAGACUGAGCAGGAUGCUGCAGUUCUAGCUGCAUUGGCUUUCUGAUGGGAUGAGAGAUAGACUGGGGAUCGGUGGUGGAGGUGGAAGAGACAGACUGGGGAUCGGUGGUGGAGGUGGAAGAGACAGACUGGGGAUCGGUGGUGGAGGUGGAAGAGAUAGACUGGGGAUCGGUGGUGGAGGUGGAAGAGAUAGACUGGGGAUCGGUGGUGGAGGUGGAAGAGAUAGCGGCCACCUAAUGGCUGUGGCUCAUUUUGUGGAUCCGGCAGUGGGUUAAGGGUGUGAAGUGGUACACUUCCUAAUGGCUAAAUGAUCAGCUACAGCUAAUUGAACAAGGCUGUGAGUGGGGAGCACCAAGGGCAGCGCACAGCGGGCAGCUGAGUGCACCGGAGCCAGUUAUACACUGAGGGCCAAGACGACCCUGAAUAACAAAUGACAGAUCACACAAUAAAGAGGUGAUACUCCAGAAGAUGGGUCCGGAAGGGAAUGGAAAGGUAGACAGAGAGAACGUGAGAGGGUGGACGAGGAGGGAGUGGCAGUGAACACGAGGAAGACUGGGGGAAA
Long non-coding RNA from Esox lucius (northern pike), 659 nucleotides. The record is from Ensembl. Lineage: Eukaryota; Metazoa; Chordata; Actinopteri; Esociformes; Esocidae.